RNAcentral lists this ribosomal RNA (494 nucleotides) under uncultured bacterium. Its description in RNAcentral is "partial 16S ribosomal RNA". It matches the Rfam family "Bacterial small subunit ribosomal RNA", at positions 28 to 507 of the family's 1533-position model. The record is from RNAcentral.
GACGAACGCUGGCGGCGUGCUUAACACAUGCAAGUCGAACGGUGAAGCGCCUUCCUUUUUGGUGGGUGGGGAUGAGCGGCGAACGGGUGAGUAACACGUGAGUAACCUGCCCCCUUCUUCUGGAUAACCGCAUGAAAGUGUGGCUAAUACGGGAUAUUCUGGGUCUGUCGCAUGAUGGGUCUGGGAAAGAUAUUGUUUCGGUGGGGGAUGGGCUCGCGGCCUAUCAGCUUGUUGGUGGGGUGAUGGCCUACCAAGGCGGUGGCGGGUAGCCGGCCUGAGAGGGUGGACGGUCACACUGGGACUGAGACACGGCCGAGACUCCUACGGGAGGCAGCAGUGGGGAAUAUGGCACAAUGGGCGCAAGCCUGAUGCAGCGACGCCGCGUGAGGGAUGGCGGCCUUCGGGUUGUGAACCUCUUUCGCCAGUGAAGCAGGCCUGCCUCGUUUGUGGGUGGGUUGACGGUAGCUGGAUAAGAAGCGCCGGCUAACUACGUG